This 76-nucleotide transfer RNA is filed under the name Clostridium sp. RNAcentral's name for it is "tRNA-Arg". It matches the Rfam family "tRNA". From Rfam's summary of the family: Transfer RNA (tRNA) molecules are approximately 80 nucleotides in length. Their secondary structure includes four short double-helical elements and three loops (D, anti-codon, and T loops). Further hydrogen bonds mediate the characteristic L-shaped molecular structure. tRNAs have two regions of fundamental functional importance: the anti-codon, which is responsible for specific mRNA codon recognition, and the 3' end, to which the tRNAs corresponding amino acid is attached (by aminoacyl-tRNA synthetases). tRNAs cope with the degeneracy of the genetic code in two manners: having more than one tRNA (with a specific anti-codon) for a particular amino acid; and 'wobble' base-pairing, i.e. permitting non-standard base-pairing at the 3rd anti-codon position. The record is from RNAcentral. Lineage: Bacteria; Bacillati; Bacillota; Clostridia; Eubacteriales; Clostridiaceae. RNAcentral also lists the same sequence under 3 other names.
GCGCCCGUGGCCAAGUGGAUAAGGCACAGGUUUCCUAAACCUGCAUUCGGACGUUCGAAUCGUCUCGGGCGUACCA